GAGGGGAGAGACAGGAGAGCCGGGGAUGGAGGGGGAGAGGUGACUGUGGGAGAAUAUAUCUCCCCUACACAUCACUCCCACCCUUCUUCUGGUGCAAGCGCCACUAAAUCUCACCCUAACUUUCCUCCGCUUUAGGAGAGACUUGCAGGACUGUGAGAGGGAUCCAGGUGGCCACCCCGGAGUCUCUCUUUCCUUUCCAGCCCCCUGGACAGCGGUUCCUCAGCGUCCAUCCCGGGCACGGCGGCCGGAGGGCCCCCGAGGGCACUUUUCACGUUAUCCCCGAGCGGUCCUUCCUCCCAGGAGACACGGCAGGGUUCGGGUCGGCCCUGGCAGCGAGGGGUGCCGUGAUUCUGGCAGUGUGGGAGCCCACUUAGACCGGCUGUCCAGGCAGGAAGCGCCGGGGCGGGCGGCAGAGACCCGCGAGACGUGGCGGUACCUGCGGCGGGCAGGACACGCUCUCACCAAAGGCAAGGAGGGGGAUCCUGCCGCCUUCCUGCAGAACUACUAAUGAAUAAUCACCCGGGGGUGGGGGGUGUUGCUUCUACGAGCAGGCGUGGGGCAGCCGCCGGCUCAGGGUACUCGCGGAGUGCGCGGGGUCGCGCCGGCCCGGCCGCCCUGUCCCUUGCGCGUUGUCGCCGGGCGCUGUUGGAACCGUGGCACCGCAAGCGCCGCCGGGGCCACCACCCGGCGACACCCCCGCGGCGCUCAGCCCGCAUACUCGCCCCCUCUGCAGCGACAACAGUGACAGAGGCGCCGCGAAGGUUCACCUGCCGCAGGACACGCCGAGCCCCUUGGCUUCCCGGUGACAAUGCACACUUCGGGAUUUCCUUUUCCCCGAGGCAUCAAAGGUUACCGCAAGCAUCGCCAGCCGCCAAGAGAUGUUUUAAGAUUCAAAGGUUUACAGGAUGUGCCACUUCAGAGUCCACGGCAAACUAACGCACCCUCGGAUGGCACUUGUGAAGGCAGCCCGUGCCCGUGCGGAGGGAUCGCGCUGACCUUGCUGACACCGCGGGCUCCGGCGCUUGCUCCCGCUCUGCCUCCCGCUGUGGCCGCACCGGGGCUCCCGCACACCGCGGUGUCCCCCUGCCCGGGACCCACAGGGGCCCCGCGGGGCUGCGGGGAGGUGCGGGAUCGGGAGAGCGGCUGCUGCUGGCUUUGCGCGUUUCGGUGAUGGACCGACACAUGAGGUUGGUUGAACUCGGUACCUUAAAGGUCUUUCACAACCUAAA
This is an RNA transcript of Corvus hawaiiensis (hawaiian crow), 1229 nucleotides long. RefSeq lists it as uncharacterized. Lineage: Eukaryota; Metazoa; Chordata; Aves; Passeriformes; Corvidae. The transcript is spliced from 3 exons. The record is from RefSeq and is a predicted model, not a curated record.